Long non-coding RNA from Leopardus geoffroyi (Geoffroy's cat), 1446 nucleotides. RefSeq lists it as uncharacterized. Lineage: Eukaryota; Metazoa; Chordata; Mammalia; Carnivora; Felidae. The transcript has 2 exons. The record is from RefSeq and is a predicted model, not a curated record.
ACAAGUGUAGCCGGGAGGUGAAGCCAGGGGCACGGGAAGGACUCUGGAUCCUGGGGAAGAACCGAAGGAAUACGGACAGAGCCGGGAACUCAGAUUACAGACAGGGUCUCACGAUGAGAGCUCUCAGGCAUAAUCAGAAUUAGAGAAUUCCAGAGGCGUCUGAUUUCCGACCUGCCACAGAAAACAAACACAUCUGUUGGAGCCUCGGGGUUAAUUCUGCAGUCAAGGUGUUUACUGGUGUGAAGUAUCACCACGGGCAUUUGUGAGCUAUCCCUUGGAAUCUGGAACACCAACCACACAAUUACCGUGACGCAAGGAGGAGGGAGCUGUCUCCCCGACGAACAGCGGCCAGCAUGCCUCCAAGCCCAGGGGCGGCCUGGCUGGGUGACACGCGGGCUUUCUCCAGUGUUCUGUGAGCUUCCAGGCCGGAAAGCGUGGUGGGCGUGGAUGCUCUUUAAUCAAAAGGACCUGUUCCUCAGGCCCGGGAGAAGCUUUUAACGAUCUCAGCAUCGUUUCUGAUUCUUCCUCGUGUCUCACUACUUUCCUUGCACGUAAGUGGAAAUGCGAAGCUACCGGAGACGGAGUGAACCGCGAUCUCAGGAGAAGGAACCUGCUUGACACAAACCUCCCGGCGGCUGAGCUGAGUGAACACACGCGGAGGGGCUUCUCCUCCAGGCUCCGGGUGCACAGAGACCCUCCAGGGGGUGCUGCUCAGCACUAAAUCACCUGGAGUUUUACGAGGCCCAAUAUCCUCCUGGAGAUGGAGACACGCAAACUCCAGCUCAUUUCAAACACUGACCUGCAGGGGAUUUACGACCUCCAGGAGGGAGCACUCUCUCCGAACAGCCUCUCCUAAAUGGGUUUUGAUACGUAUCCCAAAUGCUUGAAAGCCACUUGGAGAGUCGUGAAACAUGUCUUCUGAAUGUUCCAGCUACACUGAAUAGAUAUACCACAUUCACUGGCAGUUUGGUCACCGAUGGACUUCUGGCUUCAUGCCAACAUCUUGCUGAAUCCGCCACUUGCCCCCACACCAGUGUGGCAUUUUCUACCUGCUGCGCACUGUAAAACUCUGGGGAUGCUCACAACAGCCUUGUGCGGUGGGCACUGUUAUCACCACCUCUGGAUUCAGGCAAGAAAGCAGGAGAGGGCGCCAUCAGACAGGCAGCGGGGCAGUGGCAGCCGGCUCCGUGGCCCUGCUGGGAAGGAUGCUGCCAUGAGCUUCCCGUGCACGAGGCUGCUUCCCACCUUUCAGGUUGUCGCCUUUGAUGAUGUCCCAAUGCCAAGGUUACUGAAUUCCAGAGGACCAUGUUUGUGCCUCUCAUUUCCAUUGCUAAAGCACCUUCAAAGGGCUCUCUCAACGCACACCGUGCUAGUGAGGGAGUCUACCCAGGUCAACUUUAGAACAAUAACAGGGCCUAGUAUGGGCCAUAUAGAGAUUUUGACGGA